Molecule: long non-coding RNA, 167 nt
Organism: Oxyura jamaicensis (ruddy duck)
Lineage: Eukaryota; Metazoa; Chordata; Aves; Anseriformes; Anatidae
Exons: 3
Source: RefSeq, a predicted model, not a curated record
GAGUCACCAUCCCUGGAGGUCUUUAAAAGAGGUUUAGAUGUAGAGCUUAGUGACAUGGUUUAGUGGAGGACUUGCUAGUGUUAGGUGAGAGGUUGGUCUGGGUGAUCUUGGAGGUCUCUUCCAACCUAGAAAUUCUGUGAUUCUGUGAUUCUGUGAAUAUGUGAUUU